This 571-nucleotide ribosomal RNA is filed under the name uncultured bacterium. RNAcentral's name for it is "partial 16S ribosomal RNA". It matches the Rfam family "Bacterial small subunit ribosomal RNA", at positions 355 to 914 of the family's 1533-position model. The record is from RNAcentral.
UGGGGAAUAUUGCACAAUGGGCGCAAGCCUGAUGCAGCCAUGCCGCGUGUGUGAAGAAGGCCUUCGGGUUGUAAAGCACUUUCAGCGAGGAGGAAGGUGGUGAGCUUAAUACGCUCAUCAAUUGACGUUACUCGCAGAAGAAGCACCGGCUAACUCCGUGCCAGCAGCCGCGGUAAUACGGAGGGUGCAAGCGUUAAUCGGAAUUACUGGGCGUAAAGCGCACGCAGGCGGUUUGUUAAGUCAGAUGUGAAAUCCCCGGGCUCAACCUGGGAACUGCAUUUGAAACUGGCAAGCUAGAGUCUCGUAGAGGGGGGUAGAAUUCCAGGUGUAGUGGUGAAAUGCGUAGAGAUCUGGAGGAAUACCGGUGGCGAAGGCGGCCCCCUGGACGAAGACUGACGCUCAGGUGCGAAAGCGUGGGGCAGCAAACAGGAUUAGAUACCCUGGUAGUCCAGCGCUGUAAACGAUGUCGAUUUGGAGGUUGUGCCCUUGAGGCGUGGCUUCCGGAGCUAACGCGUUAAAGUCGACCGCCUGGGGGAGUACGGCCGCAAGGUUAAAACUCAAAGGAAUUGAC